CCGCCGCGGCCUCGCCGGGCCUGGCUGGCCUGUUUGUUCUAUACUUCUAAUGUUUAAUAAUUACCCAGAGCUUUGGAUAUAUGCAAUUCUGCAAAAUAAAUCAAAAGGAGUCAGAAGGCAAUUUUAUUUCCUAAUAGACCCUUAGUUAGAAUUUAACUUAAAAGCCAUUUUUAACAAAUGUAAACAAUAUCUCCCCUCCUCUCCAUCAAAGUCUGACGGAGACAAAUGAAAAGAUUUUUUAGAAGAAUAGGACUAUAUCAAGACCAAAAAAAAAAAAAAAAGCUAAGAAAGGGUACCAUCAACAAUCUUUACAGAACUUCUGGAAAGUAAAAAGCAAAUGGUACUGGCCUGGGGAAUAACCAAAGAAAAUGAAACCUCAGCCCCGGAUGGCAAAGGACACAACUGGAGAAACUAGUUAUUUCACCAAGGCUUUGACUGGAAUGGCAUGCUUCUUUAAAGAAUCAAAGUUGACUUGUAGAGCCAAUAAAAGCCCCUUGGGAAAUGUGGCCUCAUACCUUGUCUAUGCCAUCUCUGUACAAGAUUCCCGACUUGUGACAUCCUGAGACAUAAAGUGAAAAGGACCUAGAAGGAACUACUGGAAGAAAUAUCACCCCUAUUAAACUGGGCAAUUUUGUUUAAAUAUGAGUGUUCUGGAGGAAACAUGCAUUGUCACCAGGCUGGAUGGGACCCUUUCAAGUGCCACGAUCACUCAUAUGGGUAUCAGAGUGAAAGAAAAACCAGAUGGUUUCAUGCUUUCCAUGUGAAGCCAGCUCCUCAGGAGGACUAGACUGCAGUUUCCACAAAGGAUUUGAAGUUUAAUUUCCUAGAGUGACUAAUAUUGGUAAUGAACUCAACUGAAAGGAGGUAUUCUAAGGAAUGUAUUAUUCUGACUACCUUGCUGUCCUAGUUGCAAUAGUGUUUUGUUCAAUUACUAUAAGAAUCACAUUUUAUUAGAAAAUAAACAUGUUAUUUGUUACACCACUUUUUCUUUCUGUACUCCCAAUAAUGGUUCCUACAGUCACAUUUCCUCUCUCCUCUGAAUUGUAUUCCCAGUACAGAAAUGCUGGGCCUGCAUUUAUGAAUCCAACAGUCUGAUUAUUGGCCAAAUAAACACAAGACCAUGUUCAUUACUAUGUUUUAAUAUCAAAGUAAAAGUAACUACUAUGCAUCCAGAAACCAAAGCCCUAAAUUUCACACAAAAAAAUUUGUUAACUGGUUUGAUUGGAAGUAUAGUAUAGAAAAGAAAUGCAUCUAAUUAAGUGUCUGGCAUUUAUGGAUAGAGACCUCAGAAGACAGCUCUAAUGUCAAUCGAUUAACUUGAGAAUAGAAGUUUUCUCCAGUCCUACUAUGGAUAGAUAAACAAAGGUGGAUAUGCCUGUUAUCUAUGGUUAUUUAGUUAACUGUUAUAAUAAUAUAACUACUGGUUUGGACCGAGGUAAGAAAUGGCCCAAAAGUUGGCUUUGUCCUCCAGACUUAAAACUAUUAGAGCCAUGUACACUAAACACUGGAAAUUCAAUCUGUGCCCUUCAACGGGUACUUCAUAAUAAGACUUUGAUACUAUAUAAUGGCCACGAGUGUCUUUGCAUUUUGCAUCUGGGAGAAAUUAUUUGGGAAGAUGGGAUAAUUACCAAAAGGCCUAGUUUAUCCUAUAAAUGCAAUAUUACUCCUGUGACUGCUGAGAACUCAGAGGAAAUUCAUUGGGCCUUACAAGAAAAACUCAGUUAAAAAACAUAUAUUAUCAGGCUCCAGAGUUAAGCUAUUAACUCGGCUAGGAUAGGGAUUUCUUUCUUUUUUGUUUGUUUGUUUGUUUUCUGAAGAUGGAUUCUCACUCAAUAGCCCAG
RNAcentral lists this long non-coding RNA (1841 nucleotides) under Homo sapiens (human). Its description in RNAcentral is "HSALNT0408623". Lineage: Eukaryota; Metazoa; Chordata; Mammalia; Primates; Hominidae. The record is from RNAcentral.